This 253-nucleotide ribosomal RNA is filed under the name uncultured bacterium. RNAcentral's name for it is "partial 16S ribosomal RNA". It matches the Rfam family "Bacterial small subunit ribosomal RNA", at positions 524 to 776 of the family's 1533-position model. The record is from RNAcentral.
UACGAAGGGGGCUAGCGUUGUUCGGAUUUACUGGGCGUAAAGCGCUCGUAGGCGGAUCGAUCAGUCAGGGGUGAAAUCCCAGAGCUCAACUCUGGAACUGACUUUGAUACUGUCGGUCUGGAGUAUGGAAGAGGUGAGUGGAAUUCCGAGUGUAGAGGUGAAAUUCGUAGAUAUUCGGAGGAACACCAGUGGCGAAGGCGGCGCACUGGUCCAUUACUGACGCUGAGGUGCGAAAGCGUGGGGAGCAAACAGG